AGGACGAACGCUGGCGGCGUGCCUAACACAUGCAAGUCGAGCGGGACAUACGACGGAGUCAAAGUUUCGGAUGGAGACGAAGAUGUAUGUUCUAGCGGCGGACGGGUGAGUAACGCGUGAGCAACCUGUCCCUUACAGGGGGAUAACACAGCGAAAGUUGUACUAAUACCGCAUGAGACCACGGGUAGACAUCUACCAGGGGUCAAAGGAGCAAUCCGGUAAGGGGUGGGCUCGCGUCCGAUUAGAUAGUUGGUGAGGUAACGGCCCACCAAGUCGACGAUCGGUAGCCGACCUGAGAGGGUGAUCGGCCACAUUGGGACUGAGACACGGCCCAAACUCCUACGGGAGGCAGCAGUGGGGAAUAUUGGGCAAUGGGGGGAAACCCUGACCCAGCAACGCCGCGUGAGGGAAGAAGGUUUUCGGAUCGUAAACCUCUGUCCUUGGUGAAGAGGAAGAGACGGUAGCCAAGGAGGAAGCCCCGGCUAACUACGUGCCAGCAGCCGC
This 504-nucleotide ribosomal RNA is filed under the name uncultured bacterium. RNAcentral describes it as "bacterial SSU rRNA". It matches the Rfam family "Bacterial small subunit ribosomal RNA", at positions 26 to 518 of the family's 1533-position model. The record is from RNAcentral.